GCUAUNNUGCAGUCGAGCGAACNGAUGAAGUGCUUGCACUUCUGACGUUAGCGGCGAACGGGUGAGUAACACGUAAGGAAUCUACCUAUAAGCGGGGGAUAACAUUCGGAAACGGGUGCUAAUACCGCAUAAUAUCUUCUUCCGCAUGGAAGAAGAUUGAAAGACGGCUCUGCUGUCACUUAUAGAUGACCUUGCGGUGCAUUAGUUAGUUGGUGGGGUAACGGCCUACCAAGACGAUGAUGCAUAGCCGACCUGAGAGGGUGAUCGGCCACAUUGGGACUGAGACACGGCCCAAACUCCUACGGGAGGCAGCAGUAGGGAAUCUUCCGCAAUGGGCGAAAGCCUGACGGAGCAAUGCCGCGUGAGUGAAGAAGGCCUUCGGGUCGUAAAACUCUGUUAUAAGAGAAGAACAAAUUGUAGAGUAACUGCUACAGUCUUGACGGUAUCUUAUCAGAAAGCCACGGCUAACUACGUGCCAGCAGCCGCGGUAAUACGUAGGUGGCAAGCGUUGUCCGGAUUUAUUGGGCGUAAAGGGAGCGCAGGUGGUUUCUUAAGUCUGAUGUGAAAGCCCACGGCUUAACCGUGGAGGGUCAUUGGAAACUGGGAAACUUGAGUACAGAAGAGGAAUGUGGAACUCCAUGUGUAGCGGUGGAAUGCGUAGAUAUAUGGAAGAACACCAGUGGCGAAGGCGACAUUCUGGUCUGUUACUGACACUGAGGCUCGAAAGCGUGGGGAGCAAACAGGAUUAGAUACCCUGGUAGUCCACGCCGUAAACGAUGAGUGCUAGGUGUUGGAGGGUUUCCGCCCUUCAGUGCCGCAGUUAACGCAUUAAGCACUCCGCCUGGGGAGUACGACCGCAAGGUUGAAACUCAAAGGAAUUGACGGGGACCCGCACAAGCGGUGGAGCAUGUGGUUUAAUUCNAAGCAACGCNNNNNACCUUACCAAGUCUUGANAUCCUUUGACCACCCUAGAGNNNGGGCUUUCCCUUCGGGGACANAGUGACAGGU
This 1008-nucleotide ribosomal RNA is filed under the name Aerococcus sp. N360PBVB02_16S_27f. RNAcentral's name for it is "bacterial SSU rRNA". It matches the Rfam family "Bacterial small subunit ribosomal RNA", at positions 50 to 1039 of the family's 1533-position model. The record is from RNAcentral. Lineage: Bacteria; Bacillati; Bacillota; Bacilli; Lactobacillales; Aerococcaceae.